Molecule: ribosomal RNA, 547 nt
Filed under: uncultured bacterium
Lineage: Bacteria
Description: partial 16S ribosomal RNA
Rfam family: Bacterial small subunit ribosomal RNA
Source: RNAcentral
UGGGGAAUUUUGGACAAUGGGCGCAAGCCUGAUCCAGCCAUGCCGCGUGCGGGAAGAAGGCCUUCGGGUUGUAAACCGCUUUUGUCAGGGAAGAAAUCUUCUGAGUUAAUACCUCGGGAGGAUGACGGUACCUGAAGAAUAAGCACCGGCUAACUACGUGCCAGCAGCCGCGGUAAUACGUAGGGUGCAAGCGUUAAUCGGAAUUACUGGGCGCAAAGCGUGCGCAGGCGGUUUUGUAAGACAGAGGUGAAAUCCCCGGGCUCAACCUGGGAACUGCCUUUGUGACUGCAAGGCUUGAGUGCGGCAGAGGGGGAUGGAAUUCCGCGUGUAGCAGUGAAAUGCGUAGAUAUGCGGAGGAACACCGAUGGUGAAGGCAAUCCCCUGGGCCUGCACUGACGCUCAUGCACGAAAGCGUGGGGAGCAAACAGGAUUAGAUACCCUGGUAGUCCACGCCCUAAACGAUGUCAACUGGUUGUUGGGAAGGUUCCUUCUCAGUAACGUAGCUAACGCGUGAAGUUGACCGCCUGGGGAGUACGGCCGCAAGGUU